AACGAACGCUGGCGGCAGGCCUAAUACAUGCAAGUCGAACGCCCGUAGCAAUACGGGAGUGGCAGACGGGUGAGUAACGCGUGGGAAUCUACCCAGUGGUACGGAAUAACCCAGGGAAACUUGGGCUAAUACCGUAUGAGCCCUUCGGGGGAAAGAUUUAUCGCCAUUGGAUGAGCCCGCGUCGGAUUAGCUUGUUGGUGAGGUAACGGCUCACCAAGGCUACGAUCCGUAGCUGGUCUGAGAGGAUGAUCAGCCACACUGGGACUGAGACACGGCCCAGACUCCUACGGGAGGCUG
This 297-nucleotide ribosomal RNA is filed under the name uncultured Pseudomonadota bacterium. Its description in RNAcentral is "uncultured proteobacterium partial 16S ribosomal RNA". It matches the Rfam family "Bacterial small subunit ribosomal RNA", at positions 29 to 351 of the family's 1533-position model. The record is from RNAcentral. Lineage: Bacteria; Pseudomonadati; Pseudomonadota.